Molecule: transfer RNA, 99 nt
Filed under: Dilophotes sp. AJa LB-2014
Lineage: Eukaryota; Metazoa; Arthropoda; Insecta; Coleoptera; Lycidae
Description: tRNA-Glu
Source: RNAcentral
AUUGGUGGAAUCCACCAAUCAGAAAUAUGUUAAUAAUUCAUAUAGUUUAAUCUCAUAAAACAUUACAUUUUCAUUGUAAAAUCAAACAACCUUUUAUGA